RNAcentral lists this transfer-messenger RNA (351 nucleotides) under Oscillospiraceae. RNAcentral describes it as "Ruminiclostridium_E sp017942025 Standard tmRNA". It matches the Rfam family "transfer-messenger RNA". From Rfam's summary of the family: Bacterial tmRNA, also known as 10Sa RNA or SsrA, is named for its dual tRNA and mRNA-like properties. Its role is to liberate the mRNA from a stalled ribosome. RNAcentral also lists the same sequence under 1 other name. Lineage: Bacteria; Bacillati; Bacillota; Clostridia; Eubacteriales. The record is from RNAcentral.
GGGGCCGUAAAGGUUUCGACGGGGGUAGUGAACCCGACUAAGCACGCAGAGAUCGCCUUAUCUCUUUAAACGGGGCAAACUUAAAAUUAAACGCAGACAAUAGAUCUGAAUUAGCAGCUGCCUAAGCGCACUGCCGUCCUCCUGAGAACUGCUGCGAUCUCAGCCAGGGCGUCGACCAGCAGCCAACGUUUUCAGCAAGAGCCUUGUAGCUGUUAACGCACCAAAGGGCUACCGUAUCAGCAAUCCUGUUUGUCGGAGUGCUGUGAGGGAAUUUCAAAAGAUAAACUAAGCGUGUAGAAAGGUUGGCGGAUUUGCUUUCGGACAGGAGUUCGAUUCUCCUCGGCUCCACCA